RNAcentral lists this long non-coding RNA (599 nucleotides) under Phoenix dactylifera (date palm). RNAcentral describes it as "long non-coding RNA (PDAC_LNC003084)". The record is from RNAcentral. Lineage: Eukaryota; Viridiplantae; Streptophyta; Magnoliopsida; Arecales; Arecaceae.
AGAACUCCCUAUCUCUUGACUUCUCCUCCUCCUUUCGUCCUUUCCUCCUCUCAGUUUUCUUUGCUUCUCAAAUUAACCACAUCACUUUGCUAUUGGAUCUGUAGACCUUGAGUUGAUUUAUUCCUUGUUUGAGAACUCACCAGUGAUUUUGGGUUUUCAGGAAGAACGAUUAGUUGAAAUUUAGAAAGGUUUGAUCUUGAAUAUAUAGCGAUGUCGAUUGCUUUUUUCUUGGAUUUUCCUGUCAUCCGGUUUCCUUCUGUCGUCUCUAAUGGGCAUGUAAGAUCUUGUGCCGCUUAACGGUUGGAGUAAUGGCAUAUGCUCUUUCACCAGUUAGAAAUUUCGAGGAAACAUCAAAAACCAUCUUUUUCAUGCUUCAAAAAAAAAAAAGAAUUAUUGAAGGCAUCAUUCCUAGGUUGCAUAUUCUGUGAUUGUGGCGUGAGAAAGCUGUCAUACGAGUGAAUUCUGAUUUGGCUUUUCCUCCUGAGUCUAGUAACACCUUCAAAAGGUUCAGCUUUUUAAAUUUAGUUUAAUCAAUAGAUGAACAUAAUACAAGAAAUCUUUUACUUUGAACUAGAACUAAAGUGUAAAUCACUAUAAGU